AUGGAUACAAUGAGAGGGGGACAUGUAGGAGUCAAAGUUAAUGAUGAAAUUGGACCUUUCUUUAAGACCUAUAAAGGCUUAAGGCAGGGAGAUGCUAUGUCACCACUACUGUUUGAUGUGGUUGCGGAUGCUUUAGCAGUUUUAAUGAAUAAUGCCCUAAACAUGGACAUUGUUAAGGGAGUAUUGGGAAAUAAUGAAAACAAAGGUGUAAAUAUGUUGCAAUAUGCUGAUGACACCAUUUUUUUGGUUAAAGAUGAUGAAACUAGUGUAAGAAACCUCAAAUUCAUUUUGGGGGCUUUUGAGCAGAUGUCUGGGCUAAAAAUAAACUUCCAUAAGAGUGAGUUGAUGCUGUUUGGUAAAGCUAAAGAGAAACAAUCACUUUACUAG
Molecule: ribosomal RNA, 387 nt
Filed under: Triticum aestivum (bread wheat)
Lineage: Eukaryota; Viridiplantae; Streptophyta; Magnoliopsida; Poales; Poaceae
Description: partial small subunit ribosomal RNA
Source: RNAcentral